AAUUGCCAAAGGUCGAGCGGUAGAGAGGUGCUUGCACCUCUUGAGAGCGGCGGACGGGUGAGUAAUACCUAGGAAUCUGCCUGGUAGUGGGGGAUAACGUUCGGAAACGGACGCUAAUACCGCAUACGUCCUACGGGAGAAAGCAGGGGACCUUCGGGCCUUGCGCUAUCAGAUGAGCCUAGGUCGGAUUAGCUAGUUGGUGAGGUAAUGGCUCACCAAGGCUACGAUCCGUAACUGGUCUGAGAGGAUGAUCAGUCACACUGGAACUGAGACACGGUCCAGACUCCUACGGGAGGCAGCAGUGGGGAAUAUUGGACAAUGGGCGAAAGCCUGAUCCAGCCAUGCCGCGUGUGUGAAGAAGGUCUUCGGAUUGUAAAGCACUUUAAGUUGGGAGGAAGGGCAUUAACCUAAUACGUUAGUGUUUUGACGUUACCGACAGAAUAAGCACCGGCUAACUCUGUGCCAGCAGCCGCGGUAAUACAGAGGGUGCAAGCGUUAAUCGGAAUUACUGGGCGUAAAGCGCGCGUAGGUGGUUUGUUAAGUUGAAUGUGAAAUCCCCGGGCUCAACCUGGGAACUGCAUCCAAAACUGGCAAGCUAGAGUAUGGUAGAGGGUGGUGGAAUUUCCUGUGUAGCGGUGAAAUGCGUAGAUAUAGGAAGGAACACCAGUGGCGAAGGCGACCACCUGGACUGAUACUGACACUGAGGUGCGAAAGCGUGGGGAGCAAACAGGAUUAGAUACCCUGGUAGUCCACGCCGUAAACGAUGUCAACUAACCGUUGGGAGUCUUGAACUCUUAGUGGCGCAGCUAACGCAUUAAGUUGACCGCCUGGGGAGUACGGCCGCAAGGUUAAAACUCAAAUGAAUUGACUGGGUCCCGCACAGGAUAGUAUGG
RNAcentral lists this ribosomal RNA (893 nucleotides) under Pseudomonas fragi. RNAcentral describes it as "bacterial SSU rRNA". It matches the Rfam family "Bacterial small subunit ribosomal RNA", at positions 53 to 942 of the family's 1533-position model. The record is from RNAcentral. Lineage: Bacteria; Pseudomonadati; Pseudomonadota; Gammaproteobacteria; Pseudomonadales; Pseudomonadaceae.